Long non-coding RNA from Stomoxys calcitrans (stable fly), 799 nucleotides. RefSeq lists it as uncharacterized. The transcript is spliced from 2 exons. The record is from RefSeq and is a predicted model, not a curated record. NCBI's taxonomy places the organism in Eukaryota, Metazoa, Arthropoda, Insecta, Diptera, Muscidae.
GACUAUCAAAUGCCAUAAGUAACUGUCUUUUCCAUUCCUAUAAUGAAAUUAAUCGAUGAUAUCGGCCCAGAUAUCGAUAAAAAGUUUCACUUUUUAAAAGGAUUUUUCUUCAAAAGUUUUAUUCAAAAUGGAAAAUAAAAGUUCAAACUAGUUUCUAGAGUCGAUGGACUUUUUAAUUAAGACCAAAAAAUCCAAGUCUGAUCAAAUUUGGGAAUAUUUCUAUAUACUUCGAUUAUAUACCUUCUCUAUACAUGUGUGUCUGGGUGUCUCUUGUAUAUAAGGAGUUUGAGCAGUACUUCUAUGUUGUCAUGAGAGAUGACAACCCAAAAGGAAGAUUGAAUCAAAACACAAAAUAACCAAAAUUGUCCAACUGUGCGAGAUGGUAAAAAAGACAUAUCAAAAAUCAUUUCUUGCGUUUUAUGUAAAAAGAGGAAGACAAAAAAAAAAAAUAAUUCAGAAAAGAGAGGCAACAAAAUUGGGUGGCAAGUAUUGAAGAUAAAAAAGAAGGAAAACCAGGCGUAAUGGUGACGAUGGGAAAAUAAAUGGAAUUAGCCCAUCAAUUUAGCCAUAGAAUUUAAAGAAGUGGAUGGAAAUGGUGUAGCCACAAUAAGUGAAAACAAUGCCAAUAAAAAUUUACAAAAAAUAUGACCAAGCAUAUCAUUGUCGUUGGUGAAAAAAAAAGAAAAAAAUAAAAAUUGAUGACUGAAAGUGGCCACUACAAACCGGAUAAUUCAAAAGUCUUACGGCAUUGAAUUAGAUGGAAAAAAAGCCACUAGUUUCUUAUGUCUUUUCCAUGGUA